RNAcentral lists this ribosomal RNA (497 nucleotides) under uncultured bacterium. Its description in RNAcentral is "partial 16S ribosomal RNA". It matches the Rfam family "Bacterial small subunit ribosomal RNA", at positions 28 to 507 of the family's 1533-position model. The record is from RNAcentral.
GACGAACGCUGGCGGCGUGCCUAAUACAUGCAAGUUGAGCGAUGAAGAUUGGUGCUUGCACCAAUUUGAAGAGCAGCGAACGGGUGAGUAACGCGUGGGGAAUCUGCCUUUGAGCGGGGGACAACAUUUGGAAACGAAUGCUAAUACCGCAUAAUAACUUUAAACAUAAGUUUUAAGUUUGAAAGAUGCAAUUGCAUCACUCAAAGAUGAUCCCGCGUUGUAUUAGCUAGUUGGUGAGGUAAAGGCUCACCAAGGCGAUGAUACAUAGCCGACCUGAGAGGGUGAUCGGCCACAUUGGGACUGAGACACGGCCCAAACUCCUACGGGAGGCAGCAGUAGGGAAUCUUCGGCAAUGGACGAAAGUCUGACCGAGCAACGCCGCGUGAGUGAAGAAGGUUUUCGGAUCGUAAAACUCUGUUGGUAGAGAAGAACGUUGGUGAGAGCGGAAAGCUCAUCAAGUGACGGUAACUACCCAGAAAGGGACGGCUAACUACGUG